This 497-nucleotide ribosomal RNA is filed under the name uncultured bacterium. Its description in RNAcentral is "partial 16S ribosomal RNA". It matches the Rfam family "Bacterial small subunit ribosomal RNA", at positions 28 to 507 of the family's 1533-position model. The record is from RNAcentral.
GAUGAACGCUGGCGGCGUGCCUAAUACAUGCAAGUCGAGCGAACGGACGAGAAGCUUGCUUCUCUGAUGUUAGCGGCGGACGGGUGAGUAACACGUGGAUAACCUACCUAUAAGACUGGGAUAACUUCGGGAAACCGGAGCUAAUACCGGAUAAUAUUUUGAACCGCAUGGUUCAAAAGUGAAAGACGGUCUUGCUGUCACUUAUAGAUGGAUCCGCGCUGCAUUAGCUAGUUGGUAAGGUAACGGCUUACCAAGGCAACGAUGCAUAGCCGACCUGAGAGGGUGAUCGGCCACACUGGAACUGAGACACGGUCCAGACUCCUACGGGAGGCAGCAGUAGGGAAUCAUCCGCAAUGGGCGAAAGCCUGACGGAGCAACGCCGCGUGAGUGAUGAAGGUCUUCGAAUCGUAAAACUCUGUUAUUAGGGAAGAACAUAUGUGUAAGUAACUGUGCACAUCUUGACGGUACCUAAUCAGAAAGCCACGGCUAACUACGUG